AUGGCAAUUGGUUACUUGGAUUCUCUGGCUUUAUUGGCAUCUCUACUUCCUUAUGUGCCGAACUUCAUGCAAUUUUAAAUGGUCUUAAGAUUGCUCAAGCUAAAGGACUUAGAAAUAUUAUCAUUGAAUCAGAUUCCACUCUAGCAGUUUGUAAGACCCGUAAUUUCGCAGUUUAUUUUGUGUAAGGAAAAUAAAUAUUGGAUAAAAGUUUUAGGGUUUUUGUUUAAGUCGUUUUGUAUGUAUCGUUGUAAUAACGGC
Molecule: long non-coding RNA, 258 nt
Filed under: Trifolium pratense (red clover)
Lineage: Eukaryota; Viridiplantae; Streptophyta; Magnoliopsida; Fabales; Fabaceae
Description: long non-coding RNA (TPRA_LNC010512)
Source: RNAcentral